CUUCCUCUGCUGCUAUGGAGUAGCAGUCUGUUGAGCUCCUUUAAUCUUCAGACUAGAAACAGCAUUUGUAUAUUUUAAUAGCUAAGACAUUUUUUUCCCCCUCACACACUCUUCCUUAUGGCCUUGUCACUAGGGAAAAAAUGGUGUUAGCCAAUACGUUUAAAAUUCUAUUGAAUGCAAUGCAGUUUUCAUGUGUGUUAGAUUACAAACUGUGUUGUCUUCACUAGGAUUUUAGCAUAUGUUAGGUGUGCUUUUACCUCAGGUUAGCUUUUUUCUUAGUGUGGAUGCACCUCUGUGUUGUGAAGAAUCAUUCCUACCCUAUCCUAGGAAAAUAUGUGAUAAUCUCUGUCUUUGGUUUGUUUAGAAUCCUGAAUUCACUUAUAGAAUUAGUCUGUACCGUGGACUGUCUUAUUGUUCUGUGUUUUUAUAGCCCCUAGCACAGUGGAGUCCGGAUCCAUGGCUCAGGCUUCUAGGUGUGACAAUAAUACAAAUAAAUAAAUAUGUAACUUCAGUUCCCUCUAUCUGUACCACCAAGCCCACAAGGGUUACUGUAAACGUAAAUGCGGACAGUCCUUUAUAAUUUCUCUGACGCACAGUCGGUACUAAGAGGCUUGGGUUGAUCUGUUUUAGUGCUGUGUUCUGGUAAACAAAGGGACUGUAAUUUCAUCUGCUUUCUCUCAAGAAGUCUUUACUCUGUAUCAAAAUGUUAACACAAUAGCUAACAAACAAUGACAAGGUUGCACUUAACAACAGUUGUAUAGUGUUUCAGUAACUUUUUGGAAAGCUCUUCUGUUUCUGUAUUUGCAUGAGUAUCAGCAUUAUAUUACGAGACUUGCAUAUGAUGCUUUUAUAUGAGCUCAACAUAUCUUGCUAAUAGGAUGAAGAGGCCCACAAUUCAAGGAGAAUGGAAAGCUGGAGUCAUUAGUUACAUGAUGGGAGUUGGGAAUGGUGUCUGCCUCUUUGGAGGCUACCAUUUUAUAUAUACUUCCUAUCAAGAGCUUCAGCCUGAUACAGUUGGAUUGACAAAUCUGAUCCUGUUUGAGAACACUGAAAGAAAGAUGAUCAAAGCUUUUAUAAGGUAUGCUAAAUUAACUGAUAUGACCCACAAAAAGGAAGGGGAAGAAUGGGGUUAGUGCCCUUUUAUGGUAGAUAAGGCUUGAAAUGGUGUGCAUGUUCUUCUUAAAAAUUCUGCUUGGUUGGUUACUCUGGAGUUAACAGGUAUAUCAAGUUUUGUCUUCCUUGAUUUUGCUCUAGGUCUCGUUGGCUGUGUUUAGAUAUAGAUUAUUAACGUUCUCAUCCCUUAAUUGAAAGGCCUGGAUUAAAGUGUCUUCUAAAUAUUUUGCAGACAUAGAAUUUAAAUGUGCAAGUUAAAAAAAAAAGAUUGAAAUAGUCUGAAUAAAAAUCACUUCAUUUUUCAGUUAAUCAGGGUUUACAUUUCUUCAUCCAAAUCAUAUCAAUUCUUCAGUUAUCCAUAGAGUCUUGUAGGGAAAUCAGGAUAGACAAGACCUGAAGUUCUACUCUGCUUAAAAGAAAAAAGUUAUUUUAGUUUUUGAAAACCAAAAUAACUUUUCAGGUCUUCCUUAUACGUAUAAAGAAACAAAGGCAUAAAUCUAUAUUUUCUUUUGUAGAUCACCACCUUUUAACUUCUUCAAAAUUGAACUUCAUCCAAGUUUAAACAACCAACCAACCAACCAUGUAGAGCAAAAAAGUUCACCAUCUGCCCUUAAUUUUAUGGUUAAAAUAUAGAUAGCCUUUCCCAUAUUCAAAGACUGUCUUACUUGGGUAGCUCAGAAAUGCAUCUUCUGAAUUGAGUUGUCCUUGCAACAUAGUAUAUUUAUCAUAUCUUAUAUUUAUCUCUUUCUUUGCUUCUAUAAUUUGUGAAACUUCUUCUCUAUAUAUCUGGUUUAACACAAAAGGAUAAUCUGUGUAUGGUUAUUUGUUACACUUUUUUUUUUUUAAGAAAGACAAAUUCCAGUUGUAUCUUGAAUAAACUUGGGUUUUGGAAUGCUGUGUUUAUCCCACUCAGUAUAUUAAUGCUUAUGCAACUUUUUUCUGAUUAAUCCUGAGAUCCUUUAACCAAACCCACCAUUUCCUCAGAUACAGCCAGUAUGAAUUUGUGGCAUUUUCUUAAGUUUCAUCUUUCCAUGCAAUAAACUAUUAAUUACAGCUUCCUACAGUUUUUCAGACUCUCCAGUUCAGUUGUCAGUGUCACACUCAUGGUCAUUAGCCACUCCAGACUCUGCCAGCUACAGGGCAGAAACCCCAAACUGGUUGUAUGUUCUAUUAUUAGAUUGCACCAACUCAGUAACAGAUGUGAAGUCCUAAAGCACUAUAACAGUCUUACCACAGAGUAACAGACAGACUGGAAUGCCCAAGGGGACUGUCUUGCCACCCAGGCAAGCUGAACUGUAGAUGGUCAGUUUACACCAAAAAUCACAACAGUAUUCAGGUUACUCCCAGUUCCAAAGAACCAGUCACUUACCACAGGUCAGUUGUACUCGGAUCUCAAACCCAAGACACAGCCUGUAGCCAAUCCUGUUAUAAACUAACUAAAGACUUAUUGACUAA
Long non-coding RNA from Dermochelys coriacea (leatherback sea turtle), 2568 nucleotides. RefSeq lists it as uncharacterized. The transcript has 2 exons. NCBI's taxonomy places the organism in Eukaryota, Metazoa, Chordata, Testudines, Dermochelyidae. The record is from RefSeq and is a predicted model, not a curated record.